GGGGUAAUGGCCUACCAAGGCGGCGACGGGUAGCCGGCCUGAGAGGGUGGACGGCCACAUUGGGACUGAGACACGGCCCAGACUCCUACGGGAGGCAGCAGUGGGGAAUAUUGCACAAUGGGCGGAAGCCUGAUGCAGCGACGCCGCGUGAGGGAUGAAGGCCUUCGGGUUGUAAACCUCUUUCAGCAGGGACGAAGCGUGAGUGACGGUACCUGCAGAAGAAGCACCGGCUAACUACGUGCCAGCAGCCGCGGUAAUACGUAGGGUGCGAGCGUUGUCCGGAAUUACUGGGCGUAAAGAGCUCGUAGGCGGUUUGUCACGUCGUCUGUGAAAUCCUAGGGCUUAACCCUGGACGUGCAGGCGAUACGGGCUGACUUGAGUACUACAGGGGAGACUGGAAUUUCUGGUGUAGCGGUGGAAUGCACAGAUAUCAGGAAGAACACCGAUGGCGAAGGCAGGUCUCUGGGUAGUAACUGACGCUGAGGAGCGAAAGCAUGGGUAGCGAACAGGAUUAGAUACCCUGGUAGUCCAUGCCGUAAACGGUGGGCGC
This 550-nucleotide ribosomal RNA is filed under the name uncultured Actinomycetes bacterium. Its description in RNAcentral is "bacterial SSU rRNA". It matches the Rfam family "Bacterial small subunit ribosomal RNA", at positions 254 to 816 of the family's 1533-position model. Lineage: Bacteria; Bacillati; Actinomycetota; Actinomycetes. The record is from RNAcentral.